RNAcentral lists this ribosomal RNA (2875 nucleotides) under Stenotrophomonas maltophilia. RNAcentral's name for it is "23S ribosomal RNA". It matches the Rfam family "Bacterial large subunit ribosomal RNA". The record is from RNAcentral. Lineage: Bacteria; Pseudomonadati; Pseudomonadota; Gammaproteobacteria; Lysobacterales; Lysobacteraceae.
UCAAGCGAAUAAGCGCACACGGUGGAUGCCUUGGCGGUCAGAGGCGAUGAAGGACGUGGCAGCCUGCGAAAAGUAUCGGGGAGCUGGCAACAAGCUUUGAUCCGGUAAUGUCCGAAUGGGGAAACCCACCCGCUUGCGGGUAUCCUGCAGUGAAUACAUAGCUGCUGGAAGCGAACCUGGUGAACUGAAAUAUCUAAGUAACCAGAGGAAAAGAAAUCAACCGAGAUUCCGUAAGUAGCGACGAGCGAACGCGGACUAGCCCUUAAGCUGAUUUGGUUCUAGGAAAACGCUCUGGAAAGAGCGGCCAUAGAAGGUGAUAGCCCUGUAUCUGAAAGGGCCAUUUCAGUGAAGACGAGUAGGGCGGGGCACGUGAAACCCUGUCUGAACAUGGGGGGACCAUCCUCCAAGGCUAAAUACUACUGACCGACCGAUAGUGAACCAGUACCGUGAGGGAAAGGCGAAAAGAACCCCGGAGAGGGGAGUGAAAUAGAACCUGAAACCGUGUGCGUACAAGCAGUAGGAGCUCCGCAAGGAGUGACUGCGUACCUUUUGUAUAAUGGGUCAGCGACUUACUGUUCGUGGCAAGCUUAACCGUAUAGGGGAGGCGAAGGGAAACCGAGUCUGAUAAGGGCGCAUAGUCGCGGGCAGUAGACCCGAAACCGGGUGAUCUAGUCAUGCCCAGGGUGAAGGUGCGGUAACACGCACUGGAGGCCCGAACCCACUCCCGUUGCAAAGGUAGGGGAUGAGGUGUGAUUAGGAGUGAAAAGCUAAUCGAACCCGGAGAUAGCUGGUUCUCCUCGAAAGCUAUUUAGGUAGCGCCUCAUAUGUAUCCUCUCGGGGGUAGAGCACUGUUAUGGCUAGGGGGUCAUCGCGACUUACCAAACCAUUGCAAACUCCGAAUACCGAGACGGACUGUAUGGGAGACACACGGCGGGUGCUAACGUCCGUCGUGAAAAGGGAAACAACCCAGACCCACAGCUAAGGUCCCAAAUUUUGUGCUAAGUGGAAAACCAUGUGGAAAGGCACAGACAGCCAGGAGGUUGGCUUAGAAGCAGCCACCCUUUAAAGAAAGCGUAAUAGCUCACUGGUCGAGUCGGUCUGCGGGGAAGAUUUAACGGGGCUAAGCACAGAACCGAAGCUUGGGGUGCAUACUUUGUAUGCGCGGUAGAGGAGCGUUCCGUAAGCCGUUGAAGGUGGAUUGAGAAGUCUGCUGGAGGUAUCGGAAGUGCGAAUGCUGACAUGAGUAACGAUAAUGCGGGUGAAAAACCCGCACGCCGAAAGCCCAAGGUUUCCUUGCGCAACGUUAAUCGGCGCAGGGUGAGUCGGCCCCUAAGGCGAGGACGAAAGUCGUAGUCGAUGGGAAGCAGGUUAAUAUUCCUGCACCUCGCGUAAGUGCGAUGGAGGGACGGAGAAGGUUAGGUGUACCAGGCGUUGGUUGUCCUGGGGAAAGGCGGUAGGUUUGGAUCUUUGGCAAAUCCGGGAUCCUUUAAGACCGAGCACCGAGACGAGCCUUUAUGGCGAAGUCACUGAUACCACGCUUCCAGGAAAAGCUCCUAAGCUUCAGCUUACGCAGACCGUACCGUAAACCGACACAGGUGGGUAGGAUGAGAAUUCUCAGGCGCUUGAGAGAACUCGGGUGAAGGAACUAGGCAACAUGGCACCGUAACUUCGGGAGAAGGUGCACCCUUUUUGGUGGCUCGUGCGAGCUAUAGCUGAAGAGGGUCGCAGUAACCAGGCCGCUGCGACUGUUUAUCAAAAACACAGCACUCUGCAAACACGAAAGUGGACGUAUAGGGUGUGACGCCUGCCCGGUGCUGGAAGGUUAAUUGAUGGGGUCAGCCGCAAGGCGAAGCUCUUGAUCGAAGCCCCAGUAAACGGCGGCCGUAACUAUAACGGUCCUAAGGUAGCGAAAUUCCUUGUCGGGUAAGUUCCGACCUGCACGAAUGGCGUAACGACAGCGGCGCUGUCUCCACCCGAGACUCAGUGAAAUUGAAAUCGCUGUGAAGAUGCAGCGUUCCCGUGGCAAGACGGAAAGACCCCGUGAACCUUUACUAUAGCUUUACACUGAACGUUGAGUUCGUCUGUGUAGGAUAGGUGGGAGGCUAUGAAACCAUGGCGCUAGCUGUGGCGGAGCCAUCCUUGAAAUACCACCCUGUCGUGCUUGACGUUCUAACCUGGGCCCAUUAUCUGGGUCGGGGACCGUGUAUGGUGGGUAGUUUGACUGGGGCGGUCUCCUCCUAAAGAGUAACGGAGGAGCUCGAAGGUACGCUCAGCGCGGUCGGACAUCGCGCACUGUGUGCAAAGGCAUAAGCGUGCUUGACUGCAAGAUCGACGGAUCAAGCAGGUAGGAAACUAGGACUUAGUGAUCCGGUGGUUCUGUAUGGAAGGGCCAUCGCUCAACGGAUAAAAGGUACUCCGGGGAUAACAGGCUGAUACCGCCCAAGAGUUCAUAUCGACGGCGGUGUUUGGCACCUCGAUGUCGGCUCAUCACAUCCUGGGGCUGUAGUCGGUCCCAAGGGUAUGGCUGUUCGCCAUUUAAAGUGGUACGCGAGCUGGGUUCAGAACGUCGUGAGACAGUUCGGUCCCUAUCUGCCAUGGGCGUUGGAGAUUUGAGAGGGGCUGCUCCUAGUACGAGAGGACCGGAGUGGACGAACCUCUGGUGUUCCGGUUGUCACGCCAGUGGCAUUGCCGGGUAGCUAUGUUCGGAAGCGAUAACCGCUGAAAGCAUCUAAGCGGGAAGCGCGCCUCAAGAUGAGAUCUCCCGGGGCACAAGCCCCCUGAAGGAACCAUGUAGACUACGUGGUUGAUAGGUCAGGUGUGUAAGUACAGCAAUGUAUUGAGCUAACUGAUACUAAUGAUCCGUGCGGCUUGACCA